Microcebus murinus (gray mouse lemur) is the source of this 1692-nucleotide non-coding RNA. The record is from RefSeq and is a predicted model, not a curated record. NCBI's taxonomy places the organism in Eukaryota, Metazoa, Chordata, Mammalia, Primates, Cheirogaleidae.
ACAAGCCCCGCCCCCAGCCUCUGGGCCUCUGGGCUCUGCCCCUAGCGCUCUGCAGCGGUGGGCGCCGCGGCGCCGCGGGGACGUGACGUUGGGAUCUGGCGUCUCCGAGUGCGACAGAUACUUGCGGCUUCCAUAGGCACCCUCCUCGGGGUGGAUUGGUUCUGAGACUCCGACAGAUUCCCGCUAGUGCGGGCGCCUGGGAAAGGCCAGGGUUCCUGCGGGACCCUGCUCAGGGGGUGGCACGCGGGGUUUCCUGCAAGCUGCUCUUUCCUCGUGACUUUCGGUCUAGACCCAGCUAGUUUUGAAGUCUUACUCCCCGAGCUGUACCUGGGAGGCCUGGGGCUGAAGCUGAUAACUGGAUUGCUCUCUCUGGCAACUUUCCCCCAUAAACCUGGCAGCAAGUAGUGCACCCAGUACUUAAGAGCACUUAAGAGCGUGAUAAGACUACAUUCAGUCCCGUGGGGGAAUGAGAGAGGCCCAGGCUGACAUCUGCCCUGAAGUUCUUCAUCUCCUAUUCCAACAGGAAGAGAAAUCACUGAAAAGCUCCCAGAACAAGGCCUAGAACAAGCUUGCAAGUCCUAGUUGCAAAAACUUUAUUUUUCAUUUUAGAAAUUGAUUUUCUCUCCGUAUUCCUCCCCUGGCUUGCUAUAAUGGUAUGCCUACCUACCCCUUUGUGACUCUCCAGUCUCCCCAAAUAGUCUAUCAGCUUCAAAAUGAAAAUUUAACACCCCAUGGAGGUCUCAGUUUGAGAGCCACUGCUUAUCUCAUCCCUUCUCGCUGACCGAUUUUCAUUUAAGUUUUACUCUCUUAAUCUCUGCACUGCCAUGAAGGUUUCAUAUAUGGUAUCCUUCUCUCUCAGAAUAUGGAAUCUUAGACCCAGAAGUUUUGGUGUCAGGCAGUGAGCAAUGCCAGCUUGAUUGAGACAUGGUCCUUGAAGACCAGAGUGGAAACCAGCAUGUCAAUGGGAAAGAAGACAGUUGCGAAAGUUGGAUGAAAGAAUACCUCUUGGAUGCCCAGAGUGCACUCAGCACUGAUGGAUAUGAAAGAAGCAAGUACCCUGGCUUGGUCCUCCAGGCAGCUGACUCCUGAUGUGAAGAUGAGACAGCAUGAGACCUUGCCAGGCUGCUGUGAAAUUGAAUGCUAGACUAUGUCAUGCCCUUCUUUGCCCUCAGUGUUCAUGGAAACGGGGGCCAUGCCAGCUGCAUCAGCUAAGGGGGGGAGGAUGCAUGAAAGUGUCUGGAGCAAAGCCUUGAAGGAUACGCAGGAUUUGGAGAAGUGGUAGGUGAAGAGAGCAUUCUGGGUCAGGGGGACGACCUGAACACCUAGGACAAGGGCUCAGUAAAUAUUUGCUGGACAAAUUGAUGAAUGAAUAAAUGAGCAAAUAACAAUGAAAUUAUUGGCAUACAGUAUAAUCAACCUGAUGGGUGCUUUGUUGGAUGAAUGAAUGAAUGAUUGAAUGAUUAUAUAUAAGCAAAGACAAUGAAAUUAGAGAAUGGUAGGCUGGUUUAGUUAAGACCAGCCUAACUAGUCUAUAGAAAUUGGAGAGCUGUGAGACAUAACAUAGAAACGGAGCAGACUAUGGAAGAGCUUUUAAGAUGGAAGAAUCUUCUGGUAGGAGCAUGGGGUCUGGAUCCAGAGUGACAAGAUGGCAUUCAGACUCCUUCACUUAUUGAGUGACCUUGAAUGAGUUCU